UGAAUACGAGAUGCUACGGCGUCGAAGCAGUCUAUGUCAUACUUCCAAGAAAAGCUUGCACUGUCAUAAACAAAUAAUGCCUGUACCAUAACCGACACAGGUGGGUAGGUAGAGUAUACUAAGGGGCGCGAGAUAACUCUCUCUAAGGAACUCGGCAAAAUGACUCCGUAACUUCGGGAGAAGGAGUGCCUUAUUUAUAAGGUUGCAAUAACAAGAUCCAAGCAACUGUUUACCAAAAACACAGGUCUCCGCUAAGUCGUAAGACGAUGUAUGGGGGCUGACGCCUGCCCAGUGCCAGAAGGUUAAAGAAGUUGGUUAGCAUCCGCGAAGCUGAUAACUGAAGCCCUGGUGAACGGCGGCCGUAACAAUAACGGUCCUAAGGUAGCGAAAUUCCUUGUCGAGUAAGUUCCGACCCGCACGAAAGGCGUAAUGAUUUGGAUACUGUCUCGGAGAGGGGCUCGGUGAAAUAGACUUGUCUGUGAAGAUGCGGACUACCUGCACCAGGACAGAAAGACCCUAUGAAGCUUUACUGUAACCUGAAAUUGAAAUUGGACUUUACUUGCGCAGUAUAGGUGGGAGGCGUUGAGAAUAUUCUUGCGGGAUUAUUGGAGCCAUCAGUGAGAUACCACUCUUGUAAUGUUAGAUUUCUAACUUUGUAUCAUUAUCUGGUCAAAGAACAGUUUCAGGCGGGCAGUUUGACUGGGGCGCUCGCCUCCUAAACGGUAACGGAGGCGCACAAAGGUUUCCUCUGAACGGGUAGAAAUCGUAUCUAGAGUGUAAAGGCAUAAGGAAGCUUGACUGUGAGACCUACAAGUCGAGCAGGGACGAAAGUCGGUCUUAGUGAUCUGACGGUGCUGAGUGGAAAGGCCGUCACUCAACGGAUAAAAGUUACUCUAAGGAUAACAGGCUGAUCUCCCCCAAGAGUUCACAUCGACGGGGAGGUUUGGCACCUCGAUGUCGGCUCACCGCAUCCUGGGGCGGUAGUACGUCCCAAGGGUUGGGCUGUUCGCCCAUGAAAGCGGUACGCGAGCUGGGUUCAGAACGUCGUGAGACAGUUCGGUCCAUAUCCGGUGUAGGCGUUAGAAUAUUGAGAGGAGCCUUCUUUAGUACGAGAGGACCGAGAAGGACAUACCUCUGGUGUACCAGUUAUCGUGCCAACGGUAAACGCUGGGUAGCUAUGUGUGGAGUGGAUAACCGCUGAAAGCAUCUAAGUGGGAAGCCCACCUCGAGAUAAG
RNAcentral lists this ribosomal RNA (1235 nucleotides) under metagenome. RNAcentral's name for it is "bacterial LSU rRNA". It matches the Rfam family "Bacterial large subunit ribosomal RNA", at positions 1564 to 2808 of the family's 2925-position model. The record is from RNAcentral.